Molecule: ribosomal RNA, 502 nt
Filed under: uncultured bacterium
Lineage: Bacteria
Description: bacterial SSU rRNA
Rfam family: Bacterial small subunit ribosomal RNA
Source: RNAcentral
GGGCCCGCACAAGCAGUGGAGUAUGUGGUUUAAUUCGAAGCAACGCGAAGAACCUUACCAGGUCUUGACAUCUACCGAAUCUGCCAGAGAUGGCGGAGUGCCUUUCGGGGAACGGUAAGACAGGUGGUGCAUGGUUGUCGUCAGCUCGUGUCGUGAGAUGUUGGGUUAAGUCCCGCAACGAGCGCAACCCUUGUGAUUAGUUGCUACGCAAGAGCACUCUAAUCAGACUGCCGUUGACAAAACGGAGGAAGGUGGGGACGACGUCAAAUCAUCAUGCCCCUUAUGACCUGGGCUACACACGUACUACAAUGGCCAUUAACAGAGGGAAGCAAAACCGCGAGGCAGAGCAAACCCCCAAAAAUGGUCUCAGUUCGGAUCGCAGGCUGAAACCCGCCUGCGUGAAGCUGGAAUUGCUAGUAAUCGCGGAUCAUCAUGCCGCGGUGAAUACGUUCCCGGGCCUUGUACACACCGCCCGUCACACCAUGGGAGCCGGUAAUACCCG